RNAcentral lists this transfer RNA (61 nucleotides) under Cylindraustralia sp. HS-2014. RNAcentral's name for it is "tRNA-Cys". The record is from RNAcentral. Lineage: Eukaryota; Metazoa; Arthropoda; Insecta; Orthoptera; Cylindrachetidae.
AACCUUAUAUUCAAUUAUGAUUUUAGAUUGCAAAUCUAAAAGUGCUAUUAAGCUAAGGUUU